This 739-nucleotide ribosomal RNA is filed under the name Collybia irina. Its description in RNAcentral is "Lepista irina partial small subunit ribosomal RNA". It matches the Rfam family "Bacterial small subunit ribosomal RNA", at positions 371 to 936 of the family's 1533-position model. Lineage: Eukaryota; Fungi; Basidiomycota; Agaricomycetes; Agaricales; Clitocybaceae. The record is from RNAcentral.
AUGCUCGCAAGAGUGAACUAGCUAACUGAAAUCACAUGAGCCAUGCGUAAUUGUUGGUGAUUGUGAUAACGUAAGGGAAAAAAAUGAUAUUACCUUACUAUUAGUGUUGUCCAAAACUGGUGCCAGAAGACUCGGUAAGGCCAGAGACGCAAACGUUAGUCGUCCUAAUCAGGCGUAAAGGGUUUGUAGGCUGCUUUAAAAGUUUUAUUUUUAUAAUAGCUCUGUAACCGUAAUAAUACAAAAUUUAAUUAAUUAAAAAUUGUAUUAUGUAAAUUAUAUUUAGUCUUAUCUUUAGUUUAAUUCGUGUUUAUAAUUAAUCCGUAAGGGUUAAAUUUUAACUUGGAGAAAUAAAAAGAAUAUAGGCAAAAAUAAAUGAUAUUUAAAUGUUUAUUAAAUAACACUAAAAUAUACGUGUCACAGUAAAAAAUAAGAUUAAUUAAAGCUAGAAUCAAAUUGGGGAUAAACCGAAUAAUACUUAGAGUAGGGAUUAUAUCCGUAGAUACUAAGGGGAAUACUAAAGGUGAAAGCUUUUUAUCUACUAUUGAUUGACGCUGAGAAACGAAGGUGAGAAUAGGAAAUAGGAUUAGAUACCCAGAUACCUCUCACUGUCAACGAUGAAUGGUGGUUGUUAGUUUUAAUAAAAACUGGUAACGAUGUUAACACGAUAACCAUUCCGCCUUGCGAGUACGGUUGCAAAACUGAAACCAAAAAAAUUAGUCGUCUCGAAGCAAGCAAAGAG